GAUGAACGCUGGCGGCGUGCCUAAUACAUGCAAGUCGAGCGAACAGAUGAGGAGCUUGCUCCGCUGACGUGAGCGGCGGACGGGUGAGUAACACGUGUAUAACCUACCUAUAAGACGGGUAUAACUUCGGGAAACCGGAGCUAAUACCGGAUAAGAUAUUGAACCGCAGGGGUGAAUAGUGAAAGACGGUGUUGCUGUCACUUCUAGAGGGAUCCGGGCCGCAUUAGCUAGUUGGUAAGGUAACGGCUUACCAAGGCGACGAUGCGUAGCCGAACGGAGGGGGUGAUAGGCCACAUUGGAACGGAGACACGGUCCAGACUACUAAGGGACGCAGCAGUCGGGAAUCGUCCGCAACGGGCGGAAGCCUGGCGGAGCAACGGCGAGUGAGUGAUGAAGGUCUUCGGAUCGUAAAAACCUGUUAUUAGGGAAGAACCAAUGUGUAAGUAAAUAUGGCCGUCUUGACGGUAACUAAUCAGAAAGCAACGGCUAACUACGUG
This 497-nucleotide ribosomal RNA is filed under the name uncultured bacterium. Its description in RNAcentral is "partial 16S ribosomal RNA". It matches the Rfam family "Bacterial small subunit ribosomal RNA", at positions 28 to 507 of the family's 1533-position model. The record is from RNAcentral.